GACGAACGCUGGCGGCGUGCCUAAUGCAUGCAAGUCGCACGCGGCACCUUCGGGUGCUGAGUGGCGAACGGCUGAGGAACACGUGGGGACCUGUCCGGGAGUGGGGGACAACACCGCGAAAGCGGUGCUAAUCCCGCAUACGCUCUGGGGAGGAAAGCCGAAAGUCGCUCCCGGGUGGCCCUGCGGCCCAUCAGGUUGUUGGUGGGGUAACGGCCUACCAAGCCAAUGACGGGUCGCCGGUCUGUGAGGACGACCAGCCAGGCGCGGACUGGGACACGGCCCAGACUCCUACGGGAGGCAGCAGCAAGGAAUUUUCGGCAAUGGGCGCAAGCCUGACCGAGCAACGCCGCGUGCAGGAAGACGGCCUUCGGGUUGUAAACUGCUUUUGCUAGGGAUGAUAACAGACAGUACCUGGCGAAUCAGCCCCGGCUAACUCUGUG
Molecule: ribosomal RNA, 440 nt
Filed under: uncultured bacterium
Lineage: Bacteria
Description: partial 16S ribosomal RNA
Rfam family: Bacterial small subunit ribosomal RNA
Source: RNAcentral